This 423-nucleotide ribosomal RNA is filed under the name uncultured bacterium. Its description in RNAcentral is "bacterial SSU rRNA". It matches the Rfam family "Bacterial small subunit ribosomal RNA", at positions 207 to 622 of the family's 1533-position model. The record is from RNAcentral.
AAGACCUUGCGCUUUUGGAGCGGCCGAUGUCUGAUUAGCUUGUUGGUGAGGUAAAGGCUUACCAAGGCUUCGAUCCGUAGCUGGUCUGAGAGGACGGCCAGCCACACUGGGACUGAGACACGGCCCAGACUCCUACGGGAGGCAGCAGUGGGGAAUUUUGGACAAUGGGGGCAACCCUGAUCCAGCCAUGCCGCGUGAGUGAAGAAGGCCUUCGGGUUGUAAAGCUCUUUCAGCCGGAACGAAACGGUUACGGUUAAUACCCGUGACUACUGACGGUACCGGAAGAAGAAGCACCGGCUAACUACGUGCCAGCAGCCGCGGUAAUACGUAGGGUGCAAGCGUUAAUCGGAAUUACUGGGCGUAAAGCGUGCGCAGGUGGUUUUGUAAGUCAGAUGUGAAAUCCCCGGGCUUAACCUGGGAACU